RNAcentral lists this unclassified non-coding RNA (219 nucleotides) under Hevea brasiliensis (rubber tree). The record is from RNAcentral. Lineage: Eukaryota; Viridiplantae; Streptophyta; Magnoliopsida; Malpighiales; Euphorbiaceae.
CUCCAGCUCUGAUGACCCCGUGUCCUUCGGUCCCGCCUGCUCGGUGUGCGCCCCUGAGGCCGCUGCUGCAGCGGCGAAGGAAGCAGAUGAUCUAGGCUCUGACUUCACAGCCGGAACUAUGGCCCCCGUUGAGACCUCUUCCAUAGGUGUAAUUUUUUCACUCUGCUUCGUAUUCUGCUGGGUUUGGGUUUGUGUUUGGUCUGCAAAACCGCAUUUAGU